RNAcentral lists this ribosomal RNA (733 nucleotides) under uncultured bacterium. Its description in RNAcentral is "bacterial SSU rRNA". It matches the Rfam family "Bacterial small subunit ribosomal RNA", at positions 1 to 716 of the family's 1533-position model. The record is from RNAcentral.
CCCUUAGAGUUUGAUCCUGGCUCAGAACGAACGCUGGCGGCGUGGAUAAGACAUGCAAGUCGAACGGGAUAACAUCUGUAGCAAUACAGGUGUUAUUUAGUGGCGAACGGGUGCGUAACACGUGGGCAAUCUGCCGAGAAGUGGGGGAUAGCUCGCCGAAAGGCGAAUUAAUACCGCAUAUGAUCAGCUAAGACAUCUUAGCGACAUCAAAGCCGGGGCAACCUGGCGCUUCUUGAUGAGCCCGCGGCCUAUCAGCUAGUUGGUGAGGUAACGGCUCACCAAGGCUAUGACGGGUAGCUGGUCUGAGAGGACGACCAGUCACACUGGAACUGAGACACGGUCCAGACACCUACGGGUGGCAGCAGUCGAGAAUUUUUCUCAAUGGGGGAAACCCUGAAGGAGCGACGCCGCGUGGAGGAUGAAGGCUUUCGGGUUGUAAACUCCUGUCAUUUGAGAACAAGGUGCAUCGGUUAGCUGCCGAUGCAUUGAUAGUAUCGGAAGAGGAAGAGACGGCUAACUCUGUGCCAGCAGCCGCGGUAAUACAGAGGUCUCAAGCGUUGUUCGGAUUCAUUGGGCGUAAAGGGUGCGUAGGUGGCGGGGUAAGUCAGGUGUGAAAUUUCGGAGCUCAACUCCGAAACUGCAUUUGAUACUGCCUUGCUUGAGGACUGGAGAGGAGACUGGAAUUCACGGUGUAGCAGUGAAAUGCGUAGAUAUCGUGAGGAAGACCAGUGGC